AUGCACAAAUACCUUUUCAAGUAUGUUACAAAAGGAUUUGAUUGUGCUAGAAUUGUCCUCUACUCCAAGUCUACGUCAUCAGAUUCAUCGACUGAGACAAUUAAUGAAAUUGAUAACUAUUUAGAGUGUCGUUGUGUCACACCAAAUGAUGCUGCUUGGCGUUUGUUCGAGUAUGAUAUUCACCAUACAGAACCUUCCGUAGAAAGGCUCCCUGUUCACCUUCCUCUUGAGAAUGAUGUAAUUUUUUCUGAAGAUGAUAAUCUGGAACAAGUAAUUGAAGACCCAAAAAAUAUGGCAACUAAAUUGACUGCAUGGUUAGAGGCUAAUGUGCAACACACCAAGGCUCAAUGA
RNAcentral lists this ribosomal RNA (351 nucleotides) under Triticum aestivum (bread wheat). RNAcentral's name for it is "partial small subunit ribosomal RNA". Lineage: Eukaryota; Viridiplantae; Streptophyta; Magnoliopsida; Poales; Poaceae. The record is from RNAcentral.